This 75-nucleotide transfer RNA is filed under the name Candidatus Woesearchaeota archaeon. RNAcentral describes it as "tRNA-Arg". It matches the Rfam family "tRNA". Rfam says of the family: Transfer RNA (tRNA) molecules are approximately 80 nucleotides in length. Their secondary structure includes four short double-helical elements and three loops (D, anti-codon, and T loops). Lineage: Archaea; Nanobdellati; Candidatus Woesearchaeota. The record is from RNAcentral.
GAGCCUGUAGCGCAGCUUGGACAGCGCGGCAGCCUCCUAAGUUGCAGGUCGGGGGUUCGAAUCCCCCCAGGCUCG